UAUUUAUUUAUUUACCGACUUGUAUCGUUUGUUGCUGCCGCCCGAGAAGGAGGAGAAAGAUGAGAAAAGGAAGAGAAUAUUAUGCAAAGGUAAACAAACAACGGUUUAGAAAAGAACGUUUAGCUGGCUUUUGCAGUGAAAUUUAGAAAACUUUAAAUUAAGUGAAGUAGUUAGAUAUUGUGUAGAGCGAGGUGUAGAGUAGAUUCUGUUCCGGAACAAAGUUGCUACUGCUACAGAUGGUACUUUGCCGGAAAGUAUAAGAUAAGGAAAAACAGUUGUAUAAUUGUCAUUCGUCGCAAACCGAACGUGAAUAAUAUAGGGAGAAAAGGACCGCAGUUUAUGUGAAAAAAGAAUCGCUGUACGGAAGCUGUUAAUGUGUACAAGGGGAGAGUAGAACCAAUCGUUGUAAGUA
Molecule: long non-coding RNA, 412 nt
Organism: Armigeres subalbatus
Lineage: Eukaryota; Metazoa; Arthropoda; Insecta; Diptera; Culicidae
Exons: 3
Source: RefSeq, a predicted model, not a curated record